AUACUUACCUGGCAGGGGAGAUACCAUGAUCACGAAGGUGGUUUUCCCAGGGCGAGGCUUAUCCAUUGCACUCUGGAUGUGCUGACCCCUGCGAUUUCCCCAAAUGUGGGAAACUCGACUGCAUAAUUUGUGGUAGUGGGGGACUGCGUUCGUGCUCUCCCCUG
Molecule: small nuclear RNA, 164 nt
Organism: Erinaceus europaeus (western European hedgehog)
Lineage: Eukaryota; Metazoa; Chordata; Mammalia; Eulipotyphla; Erinaceidae
Gene: U1
Rfam family: U1 spliceosomal RNA
About the family: U1 is a small nuclear RNA (snRNA) component of the spliceosome (involved in pre-mRNA splicing). Its 5' end forms complementary base pairs with the 5' splice junction, thus defining the 5' donor site of an intron.
Source: Ensembl